Long non-coding RNA from Cyanistes caeruleus (blue tit), 4847 nucleotides. RefSeq lists it as uncharacterized. The record is from RefSeq and is a predicted model, not a curated record. NCBI's taxonomy places the organism in Eukaryota, Metazoa, Chordata, Aves, Passeriformes, Paridae.
UCUACAUUAGUAAAUGCACUGACAGCCGCAAGGUGGGUCGGAUACAGCGACUGGACGUGAGCCAGCAGUGGGCCCAAGGUGGCCAAAAAGCAGCUACUGCUUCCAAGGACAGCUCAGCCACAAGCAACCUCUGCUGAUCAGGCUCCACAGUCCUGGACAUUCAGAAUAGCAGCACCACUGAGAGUCUGCCACCACUGAGAGCAGCACAGCCAGUGCCAGCUGCUUCUCAGCACCUGAUGGUCCAAACUGACACCACAAGGCAGCAUGGGCUCUCCCACUGUUCCAGAAUGUGAGGAACCAAACUGCCCUCUCUACCACAAAGUCUUGGUGGACAGCUACAAGUCUUUGCACUGCAGAUAAAAACAGCAUCAGAGGUAAUCUGACUGACAUACUUUGUAAACACACCAGUGCAUCUCUUGCUUACAAAGCAAUAGCCCUCUUGUACCUUCUAACAUGGACUGUACAUAGCCUGAGCACUCAAAUCAACUUGGUAAUAGGAUUAUUCAUUUCAGAAAGGCUUCACAAGCUGUUGCUCCAAAGAAACUUGGGUGCUGCAUGCUUGAAACAGGCCAAGCAGUUACUGCAGAAGCACACAAUCUUAUUUGAAGCCAGGCCUUUUAAUCCACAUUAUGUCCCCAUUGAUGAACAUGCAAGGCCACGCAGGACAAAGAUAAAAUGUGGGCUCCGGAAAGCAUUAAGCACACAUUUUAACUUUUUAAUCUUUCAUAAAACAUGAAUACUUAGCAUAUAAGCAACAGGCUAAUUAUUUGGCCUCAAAAUACUUUGCAGAUUCCUGUAACUAAUGAAAAAGCAAACUUCUGACAUAUAAUUACAUACAUUUCUAUCCUUUAGCUGUUUUCAAACAUCUACUCAUUUAAGAACACUAUAGCAAGAAAAACAUGAAACAAACAUUAUCCUGCAGGAGUUUACAGAAUAUAAUUCAAUUAAAGUGAUUUCACAGUGCAGUUUUUCAAAGGUGUCUAGUGAUAACAGAUAAACAAGAUUAAUAUUAUCUCUUAUCUGUGAUCGUUUCACACACUAGAAAAUAUCCUUAAAACACUCAAAAUGUAAAUGUCAUACUCUUAAUUCUUCUAUCUAUUUGGUCCAGUGCAGUGAAAUAAUGGAUAAAGCUGCCACACGGUAUUUAUGGGGAACAGCAGCAUGUAGGUGGAAUAUUUUUCUAUAUUUAAUGAAAUGUAUUUUCAUAGAAACAUAGAAUGGCUUGGGUUGGACUUUGCAGAUCACCUGUAAGGCAUGAGCACUUUCACCAGACCAGGCUACUGAGCUCCAUCCAACCUGACCUUUAACAUGUACAGUGAUGGGCAUCCACAUCUUUUCUGGGCAACCUGUUCCAGUGUUUCAUCACCCUCACAAUAAAGACUGUCUUCCUAACAGCUAAUCUUAAACUAUUUCAGUUUGAAGUCAUUCCCCCUUGUCCUGUCACUACAUGCUCUUGUAAAUACUCUCUUUAUAUGAAUCUGUGCUGCUUCCUAGGAGUAUUUCCUCCCACUGUAUAAUACCAGGUCUUGUAUAUAAAGAACAUUUAAAAGUAUAUCCACAAAUGUAAUUGUUGCUUUACAGCAGCACUGCCAGAAAUGCUGCUGUAUAGCAACACAAUUAGAAUUCCUGCUGCUUCCUACUUCCAUGACUCCUGCUCACAACUAGUCAAAAUAUUCCAUGGACUGUCCAUUCUAUUCCAGCAAUAUUUAGAUUCAUAACAUUCCUCACCUAACUCUAGCAAGCCACUUAUGCAAUUUGUAUCUGCUAAACAUGGCACACCAGUGCACUAUUUAGGUUCUAAUACAGAAACUCUGUAUUGAAUACUCUAUUCAGCUUUGCAGUGUUCUGUUUUUGUAAGCAAGAAGGAAUUCUAAGUAAAACUAAUGUCCUUUUCCAGAAACACAAACAGUCCUUGAAAGGCAAGUAAUGUUAAAUACCACCCCCUUCUCCCACACCUAAUGUUAGACAUCUUCAGAUGUUUGACUUUGCCUUAUAAAGGGGAAAAUGCUUCUGCAGCUUUGGUGUUGGUCAGUACUCAUGAGGUAAAAGGUAAUAGCAGGUAAGCAGAAAAAUUCAUAUGCAGAGCUGUGAAAUAAUCUUCCCAUUGCUCCAUCUCUUAGUAUUAUACUGAAGUAAAAACAUUCCAUUUAUUUUGAAACUAUUUGACCUCUGGAAAUACAAUAUUUUAAAAUUUUCCAUUACUGAGUAACUUUGAUUUCACCAUAUCAUUUCUCAAUUUAUGGUGACAUCUUAAUGAAUAAAUUAAAACCAAAAGCACAGCUUAAAAAAUUGCUGUUAACUGUGCAAUUCUUUAGUUUGUUACCUAAUUAAGAACUGAAAUACCAGAGUAAGAUAGCUGUAACUUACCACUGUGCUUCGUAAAAGUUGUUCCUCAUCUGUUUCAGAGAACAGCUUAUUUAAUUUUGCAUACUGAACUUCAUUACACUACCAAGAAUCAAUUCCUUGUUUAAUGUUUUUACUAUUUGUGUAUCAUCAUUUCUUCCAAGAACCUCACUCAUUGCCCAGGCUGUACAGCAGUCUUUAUUCCCAAGGCAACAGAACAAGAACACUGACGCUACCACAAACCCUUUCCAAUCUAGAUGUAAAAAAAUGGACAGUGAUGUUCAAGGAAACAAAAUGAUGCUGAUCAGCAUGCUAGGCAAUCAAACCCCAGUCAUUUGUGCUUUGUGAGGUACAGAACCUUGUGAAGCUUUUCAUGGUUUUCUGAACAACAGUGCAGCUGAUGUGAAGAUUUUUAUGGAGACCUUAUGCAAGCAUAGGAGAAGGCAAGGAAAGAAUGCGCUCAGCUGCAAAGUGAUGUGAGCACUGUAAUAGGUUGGAGUUGGCAUCUUACUGGAGAAAUCAGACACAAAGCAGUUACAGGUACGGAAGGGCCCUCAGAAACAAAAUCAACUAGCUUCAGCUUCACUCAAUAAUUGAGAAGGGGCAGACAGAAAAGAUGCAGAGUUCUAACUAUUUUUAAUCAAUAUAGAAGAAUCUGUGUAAAAACAGUUAAAGCCAUGCUGCAAUUAACUUCUUUCAAUAUACACAAGAUAGCUGCAGAGCCAUCUGACAAUUCUUGGAUGAAGACCUGUAGAACUAACAGCAUUAGAUUCUCAACAGACAAAGGGGAUAAAAUUGAGCCAGCACACACCACCAACCCCUCCAGUCAAAACCAAGGUCAACACAAAUUGUGGUGGAAGAGUGUGUGUAUACACACACACACACACACACACACACACACACACACACACACACAGAUUCUUUCCCACUUGAAAAGUAAGAGGAGCCCACACAACUCUGCAUCACUCCACCACAGAUGGAAACUACUGGUACAGUGCUCAUCAGCUGUCUCAGAAACAGCCACUUAACUUACAAGCUUACUUAUCAAGUUUCUAUGCUAGAGGAGCAUGCAGCACACAAUAAAGCAAACCCACUGAAAUUUAAAACAAUUUAUAAAGUACUGUUAAUCCCUAUUCUCUACAACCUCCAUAUUCUUUCAAAAAAUGUGUAAAAAUAAGGAGAUGAGGACAUGAGAUUUCUGAAAAGUUCACAAUGGACAGUUCUGGAAACAAACUUCACCUGGGAUCUGUAAAGCAGUGCAAAUGCCAGCACAACAGUUGGAUUUGAAAUCAUUUUCCAUUAAAAAACCCCCAAAAAACCAAAUACAGAUAAUGUAAGCAACAUCAAAACAGCUGCAGUUCCUAUUGCAUGACUGGCCUGAUUUGCUAUUUUCUUUCAUGACUUGUAAAAUACCAGUAGUAAGAAACAGCACAAAGGCUUUUUCUUAAUAAAUUUUAAUAUUAAGAGCAGUUUGUCUGGAUAAAAAUGCAGUUACAAGUACCACACUACUGCAAAUUCUGCAUGAUGCACAGUAGUGCUGACAACAUUUGAGUAGCAAGACCAUUUUGGAACUGUUUAUGAAAGGUAUGUCAAAAACAUGGCGUAAGUAAGAAUAUAUGUUACCAGUGAAUUUAUUAUUGUGAAAAUAUAUCUGUCCCACAAUGUACACCACUGUGAAUAAUCAAAUGCAAUAUUUAUGCACAUCAAAAAUAUAUGGGGUGAAUAUAUACUCAGUUGAGCAUUAAAUCAGCCACAGUAAAUGAAAGAAAUAUUUUGGCUAUUUUCUAUUAUUUCAUUUCAUUGGAAAUUUCCUAAUAAAUCACUCAAAAGGGCAAUAUUUCUGGUUCAAAACCAUCAGGAUAACAGUAAUUCUGUAAAAUAGUAUGGAUUUGAGAGAUUUGAGCCCGAUCUUCCUGCCACUAGAUUCAGAUGCAUUUGGCUUGUGCUCGCUGCCUUAGAACAUAAGUCCAGACACCAAAAGAAUGAGCUACCACCUUCACAGCCGGGACCACAUUAGUUCAUACCAGGUAAGAUCAGGGAUGCAACAUCAAUAAAAGGAGAUGACACUUUAAAAGCACCUGCCAGAUUCUCAAGGAUUAACUACAUACACACAUAGUAAAGUACAGAAUACUGAAGGAGAGUGUAUUGAAUAGCAAAUUAAAUGUUCCAUCCAAUGUUCCAUCACUUUUCUCAAUACUGCAAUGGAUAUUCACAUUUUUCGCAUUGGUCCAGGAAAGAUACUGCAAUCUAAGCAUGUGAUCUGAUGCUACUUAAAGCUUUGUGAUACUGUUAUGCAUUUUCUUUAUCUACAUAACUGCCACCCCCAAACAUAAGCGCAAAAGAAAUCUAUCUACAUAUAGAAAUAUCAGAGACUUGACUUGGUGGCUCUUGUUUGACUGUGUUCUUGCAAAGAAAUCUGCUAACUUUUCCUUGCCUGUUUAAUAAGAUAUGUGUUCCCCUGCCCAUCAGGCCAUAAAUGGUACAUGAUAAAUCAGUAUUAUCCC